UGGUGGGUAGUUUGACUGGGGCGGUCUCCUCCUAAAGAGUAACGGAGGAGCACGAAGGUCAGCUAAUCCUGGUCGGACAUCAGGAGGUUAGUGCAAUGGCAUAAGCUGGCUUGACUGCGAGCGUGACGGCGCGAGCAGGUGCGAAAGCAGGUCAUAGUGAUCCGGUGGUUCUGAAUGGAAGGGCCAUCGCUCAACGGAUAAAAGGUACUCCGGGGAUAACAGGCUGAUACCGCCCAAGAGUUCAUAUCGACGGCGGUGUUUGGCACCUCGAUGUCGGCUCAUCACAUCCUGGGGCUGAAGUAGGUCCCAAGGGUAUGGCUGUUCGCCAUUUAAAGUGGUACGCGAGCUGGGUUUAGAACGUCGUGAGACAGUUCGGUCCCUAUCUGCCGUGGGCGCUGGAGAAUUGAGGGGGGCUGCUCCUAGUACGAGAGGACCGGAGUGGACGCAUCACUGGUGUUCGGGUUGUCAUGCCAAUGGCAUUGCCCGGUAGCUAAAUGCGGAAGAGAUAAGUGCUGAAAGCAUCUAAGCACGAAACUUGCC
This 540-nucleotide ribosomal RNA is filed under the name Klebsiella oxytoca. RNAcentral's name for it is "partial 23S ribosomal RNA". It matches the Rfam family "Bacterial large subunit ribosomal RNA", at positions 2259 to 2798 of the family's 2925-position model. Lineage: Bacteria; Pseudomonadati; Pseudomonadota; Gammaproteobacteria; Enterobacterales; Enterobacteriaceae. RNAcentral also lists the same sequence under 2 other names. The record is from RNAcentral.